RNAcentral lists this long non-coding RNA (942 nucleotides) under Monodelphis domestica (gray short-tailed opossum). RNAcentral's name for it is "lncRNA (ENSMODG00000047096.1)". Lineage: Eukaryota; Metazoa; Chordata; Mammalia; Didelphimorphia; Didelphidae. The record is from RNAcentral.
CCUGGCUCUACUUCUAACUCAAUUUCUUUCCCCUUUGAGCCUCUGUUUCCUCUUCUAUAAAAUGAGGUUAGAAUCUCUGGUUUCUAAGUGCCCCUUGAUGCUCUAUGAUGAUCAUUUAAGAUUUAUAAGAUAGGAUCUGAACCCUGGAAAAGCUCCCAGUCUGGCUGAGGAGAUAAGGCAAACACCACUAACAAAGAGAUGACAAUAAAUAUCCUUUCUCCCACACUCAACAGUUUUCUACACUCUUCCACAGCUACUAAAUCAUUUGAUCCAGACAACCUUAUGACAGAGGCAGGGCAGAGAUUAUUAUUCCCAUUUCAGAAAGCAGAAAAUUAAGGUACUCACAGAGGAAGUGACUUAUCUAAGGUCACACAAAUAGUAAGGAGCAGAGCCAGGAUUCUGAACUGAAAUUCUUUAACUCCCAAGUCACUAACCCUCUGUUUCCCUUGUAAAAAGGAAUUUUCAUUUAACGAUUUCCAAGUUUACUGAAUUGGGAAAGGAAAAGGAAAUAAAGAACUACAAACCACAUCCUUGCCAAGCUCACAGACUAGAUGAAGAAACUGAAACCCAAAGAGAGGAAGCCACCUACUCAAGGCCACAUACAAAGUUAAUUCACAACAGACCCAGGACCUGAACUCCAGAAUGCUGACACCAGUCCAGUGUGCUUUCCCAGCCUACCACUCCCAGCUCCAAACCGUCUGCAGGCUCAGAGACAGAAAGAAGAAACUGGAUUCCCUCCCUUCUCUCCACUUGUCUUCUACACUUAAUUACCUCACUUAUUACGCCGCAGCCCGGAGAGGCAGAGAAAAAGUGCAGGGACAGUCAGCAGGCAGAGCAGAUCGCCACAACUGGGGCGUAAGUAAUCCCUUAUUCGGCUAACGGGCCUUCAAGGGAGGAAAUUGCACAUGCAGGCGUAUAAAUAAAUAAGGGAGCUUAAAAGCA